Molecule: unclassified non-coding RNA, 915 nt
Filed under: Hevea brasiliensis (rubber tree)
Lineage: Eukaryota; Viridiplantae; Streptophyta; Magnoliopsida; Malpighiales; Euphorbiaceae
Source: RNAcentral
CUUUCAUUUUAUGUUGGGAAGAACAAUUUCCACCAAUUUUUUUUCUUGUAUUGAUAGCACACAAUUAAAGUCUCCCACUAGAACACAAUUAUUUCUAACAGCAGCUUUAUAAUACAAUUGAAAUUGGGAUCGUCGAAUUUCAUCAUCACAACUAGCGUAGAUAAGUAUGAGAUCCCAUUCAAGAUUAGAGUGUGCAUCCAAAAUUCGACAGUGCAAGAAGAAGUAGUAAGUAUGCAAAUUUGUUACCUUAGUAACAUCAGUCCAGGCCACACAAAGGCCUCCUGCAAGACCCUAAGGAUCCACACAUUGUAGGUUGUAGAAACCAAUCUUGUUCAGUUUCCUUUUCACCAAAUGAGUAGAAUUCUUCAUCUCCAUUAGGAACAAGAGAUCAAUCUGCUGUUGACUAUGAAUUUUUUGCAGCUUGUGAAUUGUCAAGGGGUUUAACAAUCGUUGACAAUUCUAAGAUACUAUCUUCAUAGGUGAAAUAAUAAAGAGUACGAACAAACACUAAAAUAAUAUAUUUUCAAGGAAAAAAAUUCAUACAUAUAAACGAUGGCAUUUUCGCAAACAGGUAAUAGGCAUUGUACCAAACUUUUAAUAAAACUGAUGAUAAAGAAGACCAAAUGCCAAAUAGAUCAAAUAGAGUAUCAAGCACAAGAAGGAAACAGGGAAAAUAACUGUUCAAAAGCUAAAGGCAGUAAAAAAAAAAAAAUAAAAAACCCUAAAAAACCCUACCUCCAGAAUCAACUAAGAUCCAAGGAGAACCAACACCAACCUAAGCAACAAGUAGGAAACAAAUGAGGACAACAUCAACAGAGAUCUUCACCUGAUGGAGAUGAAAAUCAGUAAUCAAGAUAAAGAAAGAGCUCACCAAACACGAUAAUGCAAGUCACAGGGACGCGAGAGAAAGAGCCC